RNAcentral lists this ribosomal RNA (760 nucleotides) under uncultured Neisseria sp. RNAcentral describes it as "bacterial SSU rRNA". It matches the Rfam family "Bacterial small subunit ribosomal RNA", at positions 88 to 844 of the family's 1533-position model. The record is from RNAcentral. Lineage: Bacteria; Pseudomonadati; Pseudomonadota; Betaproteobacteria; Neisseriales; Neisseriaceae.
GUGGCGAGUGGCGAACGGGUGAGUAACAUAUCGGAACGUACCGAGCAGUGGGGGAUAACUAAUCGAAAGAUUAGCUAAUACCGCAUAUUUUCCGAGGAAGAAAGCAGGGGACCAUUUGGCCUUGCGCUGUUUGAGCGGCCGAUAUCUGAUUAGCUAGUUGGUGGGGUAAAGGCCUACCAAGGCGACGAUCAGUAGCGGGUCUGAGAGGAUGAUCCGCCACACUGGGACUGAGACACGGCCCAGACUCCUACGGGAGGCAGCAGUGGGGAAUUUUGGACAAUGGGCGCAAGCCUGAUCCAGCCAUGCCGCGUGUCUGAAGAAGGCCUCCGGGUUGUAAAGGACUUUUGUCAGGGAAGAAAAGGGCGGGGUUAAUACCCCUGUCUGAUGACGGUACCUGAAGAAUAAGCACCGGCUAACUACGUGCCAGCAGCCGCGGUAAUACGUAGGGUGCGAGCGUUAAUCGGAAUUACUGGGCGUAAAGCGGGCGCAGACGGUUACUUAAGCAGGAUGUGAAAUCCCCGGGCUCAACCUGGGAACUGCGUUCUGAACUGGGUGACUAGAGUGUGUCAGAGGGAGGUAGAAUUCCACGUGUAGCAGUGAAAUGCGUAGAGAUGUGGAGGAAUACCGAUGGCGAAGGCAGCCUCCUGGGAUAACACUGACGUUCAUGCCCGAAAGCGUGGGUAGCAAACAGGAUUAGAUACCCUGGUAGUCCACGCCCUAAACGAUGUCGAUUAGCUGUUGGGCAGCAUGACUGCUUAGU